Molecule: ribosomal RNA, 433 nt
Filed under: uncultured bacterium
Lineage: Bacteria
Description: partial 16S ribosomal RNA
Rfam family: Bacterial small subunit ribosomal RNA
Source: RNAcentral
AAUGAACGCUGGCGGCAUGCCUAACACAUGCAAGUCGAACGAGACCACCGGGUGUAGUGGCGCAUGGGUGCGUCACGCGUCGGAAGCUUCCCUUAUGUUUGGAAUACCUCUCCGACAGGGGUGCUAACGCCGGAUAAUGUCUUCUAACCAAAGAUAUAUCGAGCUUGGAUGGGCCGGCGUUGGAUUAGCUUGUUGGUAGGGUAAUAGCCUACCACGGCGACGAUCCAUAGCUGGUUAGAGAGGAUGAUCAGCCACACUGGGACGGAGACACGGCCGGGAAUCCUACGGGAGGCAGCAGAGGGGAAUGUUGGACAGUGGGCGGAGGGCUGAACGAGCAAUGCCGGGUAAGUGAUGAAGGCCGGAAAGUAGAAAAGCUCUAUUACCCGGGAUGAUAUUGACAGUACCGGAAGAAUAAGCUCCGGCUAACUCCGUG